RNAcentral lists this ribosomal RNA (451 nucleotides) under uncultured bacterium. Its description in RNAcentral is "partial 16S ribosomal RNA". It matches the Rfam family "Bacterial small subunit ribosomal RNA", at positions 355 to 797 of the family's 1533-position model. The record is from RNAcentral.
UAGGGAAUCUUCCACAAUGGACGCAAGUCUGAUGGAGCAACGCCGCGUGAGUGAAGAAGGUUUUCGGACCGUAAAGCUCUGUUGUUGGUGAAGAAGGAUAGAGGUAGUAACUGGCCUUUAUUUGACGGUAAUCAACCAGAAAGUCACGGCUAACUACGUGCCAGCAGCCGCGGUAAUACGUUGGUGGCAAGCGUUGUCCGGAUUUAUUGGGCGUAAAGCGAGCGCAGGCGGAAGAAUAAGUCUGAUGUGAAAGCCCUCGGCUUAACCGAGGAAUUGCAUCGGAAACUGUUUUCUUGAGUGCAGAAGAGGAGAGUAGAACUCCAUGUGUAGCGGUGGAAUGCGUAGAUAUAUGGAAGAAUACCAGUGGCGAAGACGGCUCUCUGGUCUGCAACUGACGCUGAGGCUCGAAAGCAUGGGUAGCGAACAGGAUUAGAUACCCCUUGGUAGUCCA